UGGGGAAUAUUGCACAAUGGGCGAAAGCCUGAUGCAGCAACGCCGCGUGAGUGAUGAAGGCCUUCGGGUUGUAAAGCUCUGUCUUUUGGGGCGAACGUGAGUAUGGUGAACAAUCAUAGUCAGUGACGGUACCAAAGGAGGAAGCCACGGCUAACUACGUGCCAGCAGCCGCGGUAAUACGUAGGUGGCAAGCGUUGUCCGGAAUUAUUGGGCGUAAAGAGCGCGUAGGCGGGAUAGUCAGUCUGUUGUAAAGUGCGGGGCUCAACCCCGUGAUGGCAAUGGAAACAGCUACUCUUGAGUGCAGGAGAGGAAAGUGGAAUUCCCAGUGUAGCGGUGAAAUGCGUAGAUAUUGGGAGGAACACCAGUGGCGAAGGCGACUUUCUGGACUGUGUCUGACGCUGAGGCGCGAAAGCCAGGGGAGCGAACGGGAUUAGAUACCCCGGUAGUCCUGGCCGUAAACGAUGGGUACUAGGUGUGGGAGGUAUCGACCCCCUUCCGUGCCGGAGUUAACGCAAUAAGUACCCCCGCCUGGGGAGUACGGUCGCAAGACUGAAACUUAAAUGAAUUGACGGGGUCAUAGCUGUUUCCUG
This 590-nucleotide ribosomal RNA is filed under the name uncultured bacterium. RNAcentral's name for it is "partial 16S ribosomal RNA". It matches the Rfam family "Bacterial small subunit ribosomal RNA", at positions 355 to 1376 of the family's 1533-position model. The record is from RNAcentral.